This 345-nucleotide ribosomal RNA is filed under the name uncultured bacterium. Its description in RNAcentral is "bacterial SSU rRNA". It matches the Rfam family "Bacterial small subunit ribosomal RNA", at positions 8 to 349 of the family's 1533-position model. The record is from RNAcentral.
AGAGUUUGAUCCUGGCUCAGGAUGAACGCUAGCUACAGGCUUAACACGUGCAAGUCGAGGGGAAACGACAUCGAAGCUUGCUUUUGAUGGGCGUCGACCGGCGCACGGGUGAGUAACGCGUAUCCAACCUGCCCAUCACUUGGGGAUAACCUUGCGAAAGUAAGACUAAUACCCAAUGACGUCUCUAGAAGACAUCUGAAAGAGAUUAAAGAUUUAUCGGUGAUGGAUGGGGAUGCGUCUGAUUAGCUUGUUGGCGGGGUAACGGCCACCAAGGCGACGAUCAGUAGGGGUCUGAGAGGAGGUCCCCACAUUGGAACUGAGACACGGUCAAACUCCUACGGAGCA